GAUGAAGAACGCAGCGAAAUGCGAUACGUAAUGUGAAUUGCAGAAUUCAGUGAAUCAUCGAGUCUUUGAACGCACAUUGCGCCCCCUGGUAUUCCGGGGGGCAUGCCUGUCCGAGCGUCAUUACAACCCUCAAGCUCAGCUUGGUGUUGGGCCCCGCCGCCCCGGCGGGCCCUAAAGUCAGUGGCGGUGCCGUCCGGCUCCGAGCGUAGUAAUUCUUCUCGCUCUGGAGGCCCGGUCGUGUGCUCGCCAGCAACCCCCAAUUUUUUUCAGGUUGACCUCGGAUCAGGUAGGGAUACCCGCUGAACUAAAGCAUAUCAAUAAGCGGAGGA
RNAcentral lists this unclassified non-coding RNA (329 nucleotides) under soil metagenome. Its description in RNAcentral is "partial contains 5.8S ribosomal RNA, internal transcribed spacer 2, and large subunit ribosomal RNA". The stretch from base 1 to 120 matches the Rfam family "5.8S ribosomal RNA", at positions 35 to 154 of the family's 154-position model. The record is from RNAcentral.